GGGCUCUUAGCUCAGUUGGUAGAGCGCCUCCAUGGCAUGGAGGGGUCAAGGGUUCGAAUCCCUUAGGGUCCACCA
Molecule: transfer RNA, 75 nt
Filed under: Patescibacteria group bacterium
Lineage: Bacteria
Description: tRNA-Ala
Rfam family: tRNA
About the family: Transfer RNA (tRNA) molecules are approximately 80 nucleotides in length. Their secondary structure includes four short double-helical elements and three loops (D, anti-codon, and T loops).
Source: RNAcentral